This 411-nucleotide long non-coding RNA is filed under the name Cottoperca gobio. RNAcentral's name for it is "lncRNA (ENSCGOG00000004711.1)". The record is from RNAcentral. Lineage: Eukaryota; Metazoa; Chordata; Actinopteri; Perciformes; Bovichtidae.
GUCAGUUUCUUCUCUUGACAGGCGGAAGUUUGCGGAGGCGGCAAACAAAAGACGAGCAGCAAGCCACAGGUGAUACAUCAGACAUAAACUCACCUCCGUGCCAACGCCCCCUGCUGUUCGUCCCGACAAAGCUUGGCAGCUGUGUUCCAGCUCAUCAAAUACAGUCGUCUGUUUCUCUGGCCGUGCUGAUGGAGGAAAGUCUUUGGCAUCUCAUUAUUAAUUGAAUUAAGGGAGGUAUUUCUGGAGCAAGGCAACAACAGAUAGAGUAUGAACGUGCCGAGACAGAAACGGAUAAGGAAGAGGUGACGCUCAGAAACAAGAAGGUAAACAGGUGUAAAAGAUGUUCAAAGUUUCUCUCAUGUUGCUUAAAACGUGUUUACAUGUUUGUGUAUUCCAGCAAUCAUCAACCUC